UACGUAGGGUGCGAGCGUUAAUCGGAAUUACUGGGCGUAAAGCGUGCGCAGGCGGUUCGUUAAGUUCGUUGUGAAAGCCCCGGGCUCAACCUGGGAAUGGCAAUGGAAACUGGCGGGCUGGAGUAUGGCAGAGGGGGGUGGAAUUCCGCGUGUAGCAGUGAAAUGCGUAGAGAUGCGGAGGAACACCGAUGGCGAAGGCAGCCCCCUGGGCCGACACUGACGCUCAGGCACGAAAGCGUGGGGAGCAAACAGG
This 253-nucleotide ribosomal RNA is filed under the name uncultured bacterium. RNAcentral's name for it is "partial 16S ribosomal RNA". It matches the Rfam family "Bacterial small subunit ribosomal RNA", at positions 524 to 776 of the family's 1533-position model. The record is from RNAcentral.